Long non-coding RNA from Panicum virgatum (switchgrass), 7358 nucleotides. RefSeq lists it as uncharacterized. Lineage: Eukaryota; Viridiplantae; Streptophyta; Magnoliopsida; Poales; Poaceae. The transcript has 3 exons. The record is from RefSeq and is a predicted model, not a curated record.
GCCGACCACCACCCGUACUCGUAACUCAGGCCUACUUCUCAGGCGGUCGCCCUCACUGCCUGCCGCCGCCGGCGAAGUAGCGCGUCGUCUCCUCCGGCACCGGCGACGGCCAGGAGAGUCCGUUUCAUUCCUUCACCACCUCCCUUUCCUUGCUGGAAUACAUUUCUUGUCCCGCACAUUAGUGAUUGGUUGCCAUGUCAUUUGUGAUCGCUCCGUCCUAACCUACGAGGCGGUAGCGGCGAGCUUGCAGAUUCAGAAUCCGGUGCCGCAAUAAGCGCAUUUCUUUCUUCUGCGGUAGGGGGAUAGUUUUGUGCCGCAAUGGGAGGGUGCGAUGUGAGGCGGACCCGCGGAGGGAGGUAAAGUUGGAUUUUUGCCCAACUGGAAAUUAACAAUUGAAGUGGGAGACAAAGAUUUCAUCCUCAUCUGUAGUGUUUCUGUCAGGCUCUGCUGCGGAAAGAGUGACGGUAUUUGAUAUUCUAUUUUGGGGAUGGCAAGCGCAAGUUAUUCUAAUGCUCGACCAAUCUUAGUCUGUUAUGCUGGAUGUUAGUCUGUUUGGUCAUGCUUAAUGUGGCAUGCAUUACCUCCCAUGGUGCUUGCAAGCAAAGAUGAGAUUACUGAUUAGGUAUACAAUAGCAUGCAUGUGGUGGAGUUUUCUGGUGUUGACUAUUUGGCUCUUUUUGAGAGACGUAAGUUGCAACUUUGAAGUGUGAACUAUUUUUAAGUAUUUGGGAACAUGGCAACAACUUCUGCAAAGGUUAAAAGAUUGAUUAUAAAAUUCAUCAGCUGAAUUUCUGGUACACUCUAUGCAAUCUUUGUUUCUGAUAGUGUCUGCUGAAGUAUUGAGUGUUUAUGUGUACCUACUGGCCUACUAUAGCAUCAGUUUGGUUGGUAUGUUCACACCUAUACUGAGGCAUUUGGCUGUUGUAACCUUGAUAUUCAGGGAUGCUUCCUGUGUUUGAUUUCUUAUUGAGGACUCUUAUCCCCAUCUCGUUGUCAUGCACAAUUUAUGAGAGCUGGUCUAAUUCACCUAUAUCUAAUAGGGAGGUAACAGAGCGGGUGUAACUUGAUUUGUUAGCUGGUUACUUCAUUGCAGUCUUUUUCAAGUGAUUGAUGGAUCCUUCUAGGCAGGGUCAGUUCUUCCAUAUGUACUAUUUAUCUCUGCAUAUUACCAUUUAUCUCCUCAAAUGCACAAGCAACAUUUCAUAUUUUCUUACAAAUGUGCCACCACAUAAUCAGACCUGUUACCUUGUACUUUGGUUUCCCUCUGAUUUUUUUUUAAAUAAAGCAUAAUUGUAUCACAUUGUGUAAGUUUUCUUGCUUAAUAAUAAUGGAUUUUCAACACAUGGCCAUAAUCUGCUACUCUGCUUUGGUAUUUGGUUCAUUUAACAUGUUGUCUUAGUUGCGUUGUUUUCUAUUGUGCUGAAUUUGUUCUAUAUGUAGAUGUUGGUAGCCUCAGCAUGUGUUCCUUUCCUUUUGUAUCUUGCUCUAUUUAGUUUAACAGAAGACAAGAGGAAAGAAACUUUUUAGUCUUAUCUGUAGCAAAGCUUUUCUCCAAGUUGGAUGCUGUGGAGUGUGGAGUAAAAGAGAUCAGCAGUGGUUGCGUCUUGUCCAUCCACACAAUACCUUAUUAAUCAAUUAGAAGAAAAUCUUAUCUAAAUUUUACACAGGAGCAGUUUCAACAAUUAGUUGGCUACAAAGGUCCGGAGUGCAGACCACUUAUCUACACAUUUUAUUUACCCUAUCAGACUUGCUGAAUUUCUUAUUUCUUGCGUGCAUGACCAGAAACUUCUUUCUAGUCUUAUUUUUAGUGUGAUUUAACUUUUUUGAUAAAUCCUAAUGCUAAUCAGAUUUAUAAGAAUCGAAAGAUGAAAUGAAGACCACUCACUGUCUCACUCUUGCCAUAAACCAGUUCCAUUCUGUUCACUCAUACUGAUACCUCUACAGUUGUCCUAAAGGCCUGACCAUUACUGGCCAGUAAAGCUAAUGGUAGUGCAUUUCUGAAAGAAAUCAGAGGAUUUUGGUUGUUGCUAAUUUUUCUGACCUGUUUCAGAACUUACCUAUAAAUAAGGUACAUGGGUGUACCACAAUCUCUAUUGGAACCGAACUUAAGAAUAAACAGACUAUUAUUCCUGCUCUUUAGUAUAGUACAAAAAGCAUGCCAUCUUCUUUCAUUUUUAUUAUAAUUUUUCUAUCUUGCUCUGCAUCUUGUCGGCAUUAAUAUUUAUUUAUUCACUGCCUCCUUUAUAUGUUUCCAGAUGCAGUUUUAUCAUGUUUUAGGACUUGAGAAUUCUAGGGAGUAAAUGAGAAUGUGAUAGACAUAGCAAUGAUGAAGGUCUAAGAAUGAUUCUCAUAUUUACUUAGAACCAAGCCCGAGUUUGGAGAAAUAAGAAAUGCAGUACACCUUUAUGUCUCUAAGGGCCCCAAAUUGUUUCAUCAUGAUUAGAUCCUGCCUUUAUCCAAGCCUUAGAAAUUAUACGGAUUUAAAUUUAGCAUUUAACCUCAUAUCAUAUUGUAUUGAAUAAUAACUGAGAACCAUAUCAUGCAGUUAAUUGAUCAGGAGAAUAUCAACAGAGAUGAAUAAAAUAUCAUGCAUAUAGAGCAUCCUUGUAUUGCACACUAUUGCACAAACUGAUACAAACUAUCCACACACUACAGACACAUACACCAUGAGCACCGUAGAUUUUAAAAUACCGAAAUCCAUACUAAAGCAAAUAUAGCUAGUGAGUACAAGACUCCAAACUGCUAGGCAGAUAGCUGAAUGGCCUGACCUAUGUAUAGAUGUAUUCUUUCAGCCUUCAAUAGCGAGGGCGUUACCGUAACCAAAUUAUAGAGCCAACAUCCUGAUUUCUUCAUCUUCCAUCUUCCAGAAUAUCUCAGGGCAACUAUAAUCCCACAUAGCAGGUGAUGGCAGAGUGCAGGGGAUACUGCUGCAUGUCUUCUCUUUCCCUUCAGCAGUGCCCAGCAAGGCAGGUGCCUCGAUUUCCCUCCAUAUUUGAUCCAUGGGAUAUGCAUCCAUGGAACUCUGGGUGCUCUCGAGGGUGCUGGUGACACAGGCACUGCCAUUGGGAGUGUCACCACUGCCCAUCCCAAUGAUUGGAGAGGUGUCAAUAAGGCAGGAUUGGUAUGUCAAUGAGGAGGAGGAUGAAGGUGAUAUGCUCAUCUUUCUCUCUUGUGCUUUCUUUCUCAUGUGUGUCCUCCAGUAGUUCUUGAUCUCAUUGUCUGUGCGCCCUGGGAGCCUCCGUGCUAUUCUAGACCAUCUACAUAUGGAGAAUUUGAGUGAGUUUUAUCUUAACCUAAAUUUACUAACCGAGAAAAGCUACUUCCUAGAGAACCUCUUUGGAUCAAACCUGUUCCCCCACUGAGCAUGGAGCUCAAUAAUAAGGCGCUCCUCUUGCGGUGACAUGCGGCCAUGCUUGAGGCUAGGGUGGAGGUAGUUCACCCACCGGAGGCGGCAACUCUUUCCUGUCCUGUCGAGGCCUGCAUGAACAUAGAGAACGUAUAAUAUGAAGAGGGCUGGUUAGACAGGAUUACAUUUAUGUUUGAGACUUUGCGCUAAGGAUUGCAAAAUAUCUACCUAAGUUGCAGUUCCCAACCCCUCAAACCUGAGACUUGGGCAAUGAAGUCCCAACGACGGUCACCGAACAGGCGGACAGUGCAUACCAGUUGCAUGUCCUCCUGCUCUGUCCAUGGCCCCUUACGCAUCUCUUCUCUCACAGUCACCAUGUUACUGUCACACUAACGUUGCUCACUUCUACCUUGGGUAGGCUGGGAACCAGUCUUGGUGCUCUUCUUCCGCUGUGUGAUUGUGGGAAGUUUCAGGUUUUGAUCUUUGAUGAACUCCAGCUUGAUAGGAAGAAGGUGCUCUUAGGGGGAGGAAGUCACUAUGUGUCUGUCUUAAGCUGUGUAGUGGAUUGCUGGCUUUUGCCAGACAUUUAUAGGCAACAGGGAAGCACUUCGCUCCCCCAAAAUAAAUGAAAUAAAAUAGAACAGGAAGCACUUAUGAGGUCACAUGGUUCUGUGGUUGUGAUUUAGAGCAUCCUAUCAUCAUUAGGGUUGUGCUCAGACUCAGCUAAAAUAAUUAUUUUUCCUUGGUUCUUGGUUUGCGUUACACAUUAUAUAAAGCAAUGUUCAAGAUGACUUUGUUUAUAAUGGAUUCAGAAUAGUACAUGUAACCCUUAUCUGUUAGCUCUGUGACUGUGAGUUGGCCCCACUGCUUUUGUGUAAUAGCACAGUCAUUUUGACAUAUAACAAUAGAGAACACUCUGUUCCUUUUUUUCUGGAUAAUAAGUUGUUUGGUUAUGCUUUGCAAAAAAAGAAAGGUGAGACGUUCGUGGCUGCUGUUAUUUUGGUAUCUAAUAAUCCCUGAGCAUUAAUUCCUUAAGCAUAUUAUUAUUUAUAAGUCGAAUAGACGCCUGAACUCUAAGUGCAUCCUCGUUCUUGCUUUAGGUAACCCAUUCUAAGUAGUGAGUACAUGACAUAAGCCUGCACUUCAAAUUUGUCAACCACGUUCAAUCAUUUUUCUUUUCCUUUUCUAGAUGUUUCAUGGAAAUUAUAAAUGGGUUUCUACAGGUUUUUUCGACAAAUCGAAACAAAUGUUCUCCUACUUUUCAUCUGAACUUUUUACUCGGUGAGUUAUGAUAGUUGACCAAUUUAUAAAUUCUUGGGUAUUCAUGGAGUCAAAUACCAUGUGUAGAGUGCGGCAAACUUUCUUCAGACUGUUUCCCACUUCCUUUUUCCUGGAAAUGAACACCAUUUUCUUUUCUGUCAGCCAUUAUCAUUGGCACUGAGGACUCCAUCCGUCUUUUCUUGUCAGCCACCACCCUAAGCAUAGAGGAAUAUACCAGUCACACACAAUAGAAUCCAUGCGUAAAUCAAAAAAAAAAGUGUAUUCUUCCACUGAGGGUGCUUUGUAAAAAAAAAUGCACUUUGGUGUUAGAUGAGCCACGUAAAAGUAAUCUUUUGUGUGUCUGUGUGAGUACUAGGAUGCCUUGUGCUAUUGUGAAGCGGAUAUCUGAUUUACUGAUGAUACUAGUGAUAACAUGUCAGCCUUAUCAAAAACAGGAGUGUUGAAGUUUUUUUAUUAAUAUAUGGUAGCAGACUGCAGCGAUAUAGCUAGCAGAACAUGCUCAGCAGUAUUUAAAAUACAUAUAUCAACUAUUUGUUAAACCAGUUGAGCAAAAUAACCAGCUUUUUUAGGGUUGCAUAUUUUGUGCAUUUUAUAGCUCAUUGACUGUUGUUUUAAUAGUUCAUAGACUGUGGAUUCCAAAUGGAAUACAGCUAAAACAUGUAACAAAUGAAUCAUACUAAGGUGCAACUAAGCUCCGUGGCACAGUACUGUAUGCUUAGGUAAGCUGGGCAAUACAGUGGCUACCCUAGUAGUGGUCUCUACCUCAUCUCUGCUAUGCAGUCUAUUUCAAAAAAGACAUGUCUAUUUUAGAGUUUCAUUAUUUGUUUUUCGAAAUGUGCUUCCUUUUCUAGGUCCCGUGUUGCAUCAUCAGAAAUGAGCAUGAUUGAUAAUACAACAUUUUCCAUCUUUGUUAUAUUUCUGACAUCCUGGUUGAUUGGUAAGUGAGUGUGGUGAAUGAUAGAUCUUUUUUAGCACCUGACCAUCAUUCUAUCACUCAUCACUAUAUUUUGUAUAUCAUUUAUGCAUGCAUCGAGAAGAAAGAUUUGAAGUGACAGGUUUCUAGACAGUAGGGCCCUGAGCAGUUUUUUAUCCUCAAGACCUAACUUCUUCAUUGCUGGGGAAUUAGUUGUUCUGAUUUUGAAAGGUCCCCUCAGCACAAAGUUAAUACCAUUUCCUGGGAGAGGGUCAUGCGGCUGACCCGGAUCGAGGGGGAAAAAGUCAUGGAAGAAGCUUUGAUGUGGAGGCCACCAACCUGCUACCUGUGUUAAUGUCCACUUUGUGGCGGGGACGGCCUCUCACCAACUUGUUAUAUUGGCAUCUAUCCUGCUUUUGAAGGCUUACUUUGAACAGUGAACACUGCUCUAUUCCACUAAUGGAGAUCCCCAUUGGUUAUCUGAUUUUCUCAUCCUGCUUCCAUUGUUUUGUUUGAGUGUUUAUCGUUUGUCCUUAUUUUAUCUGUCUGUCACUUGCUGUAGUCUCUGACUGGCACCAAGAGCUCAUCUUCCUCGCUUUUCUGGACGUGGCAGGAUGUACUAAGUUUAGGACUGAUCAGUCAUCAUGCUUGUGAUGAUAACUUCCUUUUUCCAUGUUCAUCAAGUGCACGACUUAAGUUGUUUUCUCAGAUAUGUGCAUGCAUAUCAAGAACCCUUUGGACCCUCCUUCAUGCUAGGAAGAAGUAAAAAUUCAGUUAACCUCUGUGAUAUUGAUGCUUGUCUUCGUAUAUUCAUAUGAUUCAUAUUGAGCAUGAUGUGCAAAAUCACAACCUGUCCAUCAUCUUGACCAUCAACAGUCUGAAGAUUAUAAUCCUCGUCGUAUGAUGAUUGAGACCACCACAAGAUGAUGGCCAGGCAAUUCUUUUCCAGAAAAGUUAGUUGAUAAGUAAUGUGAUCCGGUGACGACAGCGGAUGCUGAUGGCAACACAUGCAGGCGGAGCCGAAACCACCACCCGUUUUGCAUGAUUUGGUCCCGCCACACACGCGCUCGCGCUGGGUGGAGGAGCCUAGGGAGGGAGCCAAAGGUGGUGGAGCUAUCAAAAGCAGCAUCCACUGGGCGAUCCAUGGACAGAAAACUAAUGGCUGCUUUGGCCUGCGUCCCUGUGAGGUUAGCACACAAUGAGCUCAUGGCAACACUUUGUCCUGCGUAGGAUAUAGUGGAGGUCAGUUCACCCUAUCAUUGACGUGCUUGGGCCAUUAGGGAGACGAGAGGGGAUGGGUGAUGUUCAGUUUGUGGCCGUGAUCUCGACAUGUCGAUGCCCGGGAAACAGUAAACUACGUGUGUGCUGGAUUUGUUUGAGAUGCAUGCUGAAUUCUGCGGAUUGAAAUUCGGUGACAUUUCCCGUGACAUUGAGUCACUGACAUGUGGGACCCAUGUGGGCCCAAAAGACGUGGCUUCCACACGUCAGUGACUCAAUGUCACGGGGAAUGUCACCGUGCAAUGACACCGAAUCUGCCGGGUUUGUUUUGCAUGUACGGCCGGAUCGAUAUCUUUUGCGCCUGGAUCGUGAUGAGGUUGUUUAUGGUGAACAGUGGAAGAGUCCAGUCCAGGCUCAAUAGUCAGCCAUCACCUACCAAAUUAAAUAUUAGGGCCUGACCCCUGACACGAAAUGUUUUAUUAUCUUAAUAUGAGCAUGACACAUGUAAGUAAUUACAAGAUAAUUUGUUUUGGAUUUGGUCCCUAGAUCCGACAGUAGCACAUUGUUGCAUCAACAGGGUUGCGAUGUUUCUGUGUGCCU